This 452-nucleotide ribosomal RNA is filed under the name uncultured bacterium. RNAcentral describes it as "bacterial SSU rRNA". It matches the Rfam family "Bacterial small subunit ribosomal RNA", at positions 1 to 507 of the family's 1533-position model. The record is from RNAcentral.
AGUAGUUGAUCAUGGCUCAGAACGAACGCUGGCGGCAUGCCUAACACAUGCAAGUCGAACGAGACCUUCGGGUCUAGUGGCGCACGGGUGCGUAACGCGUGGGAAUCUGCCCUUUGCUUCGGAAUAACAGUUAGAAAUGACUGCUGAUACCGGAUGAUGUCUUCGGACCAAAGAUUUAUCGGCAAAGGAUGAGCCCGCGUAGGAUUAGGUAGUUGGUGGGGUAAAGGCCUACCAAGCCGACGAUCCUUAGCUGGUCUGAGAGGAUGAUCAGCCACACUGGGACUGAGACACGGCCCAGACUCCUACGUGAGGCAGCAGUGGGGAAUAUUGGACAAUGGGCGCAAGCCUGAUCCAGCAAUGCCGCGUGAGUGAUGAAGGCCUUCGGGUCGUAAAGCUCUUUACCAGGGAUGAUAAUGACAGUACCUGGAGAAUAAGCUCCGGCUAACUCCGUG